AUUGAACGCUGGCGGCAGGCCUAACACAUGCAAGUCGAGCGGAUGAAGGGAGCUUGCUCCUGGAUUCAGCGGCGGACGGGUGAGUAAUGCCUAGGAAUCUGCCUGGUAGUGGGGGAUAACGUCCGGAAACGGGCGCUAAUACCGCAUACGUCCUGAGGGAGAAAGUGGGGGAUCUUCGGACCUCACGCUCGCAGGUGAGCCUAGGUCGGAUUAGCUAGUUGGUGGGGUAAAGGCCUACCAAGGCGACGAUCCGUAACUGGUCUGAGAGGAUGAUCAGUCACACGGGAACUGAGACACGGUCCAGACUCCUACGGGAGGCAGCAGUGGGGAAUAUUGGACAAUGGGCGAAAGCCUGAUCCAGUCAUGCCGCGUGUGUGAAGAAGGUCUUCGGAUUGUAAAGCACUUUAAGUUGGGAGGAAGGGCAGUAAGUUAAUACCUUGCUGUUUUGACGUUACCAACAGAAUAAGCACCGGCUAACUUCGUG
RNAcentral lists this ribosomal RNA (484 nucleotides) under uncultured bacterium. Its description in RNAcentral is "partial 16S ribosomal RNA". It matches the Rfam family "Bacterial small subunit ribosomal RNA", at positions 30 to 507 of the family's 1533-position model. The record is from RNAcentral.